Cavia porcellus (domestic guinea pig) is the source of this 149-nucleotide ribosomal RNA. It matches the Rfam family "5.8S ribosomal RNA". Rfam says of the family: 5.8S ribosomal RNA (5.8S rRNA) is a component of the large subunit of the eukaryotic ribosome. It is transcribed by RNA polymerase I as part of the 45S precursor that also contains 18S and 28S rRNA. NCBI's taxonomy places the organism in Eukaryota, Metazoa, Chordata, Mammalia, Rodentia, Caviidae. The record is from Ensembl.
GACUCUUAGCAGUGGUUCACCCCACUCCUGCAUCGAUGAAGGACACAGCUGCAAGAAUUAAUCUGAAUUGCAGGACAAAUUGAUCAUAGACACUUCAAACGCACUUGCUGCCCCGGCUUCCUCCGGAGGCUAGGCCUCUCUGAACUUCG